This 375-nucleotide ribosomal RNA is filed under the name uncultured eukaryote. RNAcentral describes it as "partial 18S ribosomal RNA". It matches the Rfam family "Eukaryotic small subunit ribosomal RNA", at positions 592 to 976 of the family's 1831-position model. The record is from RNAcentral.
CAAUAGCGUAUAUUUAAGUUGUUGCAGUUAAAAAGCUCGUAGUUGGAUUUCGGUUAAGAGCGACCGGUCCGCCGUUUGGUGUGCACUGGUUGGUUUUAACUUCCUGUAGAGGACGUGCUCUGGGUUUAACGACCUGGACUCGGAGUCUACGUGGUUACUUUGAAAAAAUUAGAGUGUUCAAAGCGGGCUUACGCUUGAAUAUAUUAGCAUGGAAUAACACCAUAGGACUCCUGUCCUAUUUCGUUGGUCUCGGGACGGGAGUAAUGAUUAAGAGGAACAGUUGGGGGCAUUCGUAUUUCAUUGUCAGAGGUGAAAUUCUUGGAUUUAUGAAAGACGAACUUCUGCGAAAGCAUUUGCCAAGGAUGUUUUCAUUGA